CUAUACAUUGAUGACUACCCAUGGUGCAUAUCACAGAAUGGAUGGACCAUCAUCUCCUAGUCUAUACGGCCUCUGACAGCUGUCUAUUUAAACUAAGAAAAAAAAGCUAUAAUUUUAGUUUUAAAACUUCAACUGACAAGACAUGUUAUUGUGAGUCAUGUAUGUUCGUCAGUAUUUAAAGAAAAUAGAAAAACAAAUCGUACAUUUCGUGGAAAGAAACUGAAGAAUUUAAGCAUGUAGUUCACAUAAUGGAUGGACCCUCAUAUCCUAGUCUUGUGGCUUCUCGGAGUUCGAUGGAGACUGAAUGCAUCUAUUUCCUUUUGUGUUGUACAAAUGCAAGAGAUGCAGUUUUUAACCUCUCCGGAAAUAAAA
Molecule: long non-coding RNA, 372 nt
Organism: Mytilus californianus (California mussel)
Lineage: Eukaryota; Metazoa; Mollusca; Bivalvia; Mytilida; Mytilidae
Exons: 3
Source: RefSeq, a predicted model, not a curated record